AAAUUGAAGAGUUUGAUCAUGGCUCAGAUUGAACGCUGGCGGCAGGCCUAACACAUGCAAGUCGAACGGUAACAGGAAGCAGCUUGCUGCUUCGCUGACGAGUGGCGGACGGGUGAGUAAUGUCUGGGAAACUGCCUGAUGGAGGGGGAUAACUACUGGAAACGGUGGCUAAUACCGCAUAACGUCGCAAGACCAAAGAGGGGGACCUUCGGGCCUCUUGCCAUCAGAUGUGCCCAGAUGGGAUUAGCUGGUUGGUGAGGUAACGGCUCACCAAGGCGACGAUCCCUAGCUGGUCUGAGAGGAUGACCAGCCACACUGGAACUGAGACACGGUCCAGACUCCUACGGGAGGCAGCAGUGGGGAAUAUUGCACAAUGGGCGCAAGCCUGAUGCAGCCAUGCCGCGUGUAUGAAGAAGGCCUUCGGGUUGUAAAGUACUUUCAGCGGGGAGGAAGGUGUUGUGGUUAAUAACCGCAGCAAUUGACGUUACCCGCAGAAGAAGCACCGGCUAACUCCGUGCCAGCAGCCGCGGUAAUACGGAGGGUGCAAGCGUUAAUCGGAAUUACUGGGCGUAAAGCGCACGCAGGCGGUCUGUCAAGUCGGAUGUGAAAUCCCCGGGCUCAACCUGGGAACUGCAUUCGAAACUGGCAGGCUUGAGUCUUGUAGAGGGGGGUAGAAUUCCAGGUGUAGCGGUGAAAUGCGUAGAGAUCUGGAGGAAUACCGGUGGCGAAGGCGGCCCCCUGGACAAAGACUGACGCUCAGGUGCGAAAGCGUGGGGAGCAAACAGGAUUAGAUACCCUGGUAGUCCACGCCGUAAACGAUGUCUACUUGGAGGUUGUGCCCUUGAGGCGUGGCUUCCGGAGCUAACGCGUUAAGUAGACCGCCUGGGGAGUACGGCCGCAAGGUUAAAACUCAAAUGAAUUGACGGGGGCCCGCACAAGCGGUGGAGCAUGUGGUUUAAUUCGAUGCAACGCGAAGAACCUUACCUGGUCUUGACAUCCACGGAAGUUUUCAGAGAUGAGAAUGUGCCUUCGGGAACCGUGAGACAGGUGCUGCAUGGCUGUCGUCAGCUCGUGUUGUGAAAUGUUGGGUUAAGUCCCGCAACGAGCGCAACCCUUAUCCUUUGUUGCCAGCGAUUAGGUCGGGAACUCAAAGGAGACUGCCAGUGAUAAACUGGAGGAAGGUGGGGAUGACGUCAAGUCAUCAUGGCCCUUACGACCAGGGCUACACACGUGCUACAAUGGCGCAUACAAAGAGAAGCGACCUCGCGAGAGCAAGCGGACCUCAUAAAGUGCGUCGUAGUCCGGAUUGGAGUCUGCAACUCGACUCCAUGAAGUCGGAAUCGCUAGUAAUCGUGGAUCAGAAUGCCACGGUGAAUACGUUCCCGGGCCUUGUACACACCGCCCGUCACACCAUGGGAGUGGGUUGCAAAAGAAGUAGGUAGCUUAACCUUCGGGAGGGCGCUUACCACUUUGUGAUUCAUGACUGGGGUGAAGUCGUAACAAGGUAACCGUAGGGGAACCUGCGGUUGGAUCACCUCCUUACCUGAAAGAA
This 1552-nucleotide ribosomal RNA is filed under the name Salmonella enterica subsp. enterica serovar Bareilly. Its description in RNAcentral is "bacterial SSU rRNA". It matches the Rfam family "Bacterial small subunit ribosomal RNA". Lineage: Bacteria; Pseudomonadati; Pseudomonadota; Gammaproteobacteria; Enterobacterales; Enterobacteriaceae. The record is from RNAcentral.